Molecule: ribosomal RNA, 256 nt
Filed under: uncultured archaeon
Lineage: Archaea
Description: partial 16S ribosomal RNA
Rfam family: Bacterial small subunit ribosomal RNA
Source: RNAcentral
UAAUACGUAGGUGACAAGCGUUGUCCGGAAUUAUUGGGCGUAAAGGGAGCGCAGGCGGUUGGAAUAGUCUGAUGUGAAAGCCCACGGCUUAACCGUGGAAGGUCAUUGGAAACUGUCCAACUUGAAUACAGAAGAGGUAAGUGGAAUUCCAAGUGUAGCGGUGAAAUGCGUAGAUAUUUGGAGGAACACCAGUGGCGAAGGCGACUUACUGGUCUGUAAUUGACGCUGAGGCUCGAAAGCGUGGGUAGCAAACAGG